GAUGAACGCUGGCGGCGUGCUUAACACAUGCAAGUCGAACGAUGAAGCCCAGCUUGCUGGGUGGAUUAGUGGCGAACGGGUGAGUAACACGUGAGUAACCUGCCCUUGACUCUGGGAUAAGCCUGGGAAACUGGGUCUAAUACUGGAUAUGACUUCUCAUCUCCUGGUGGGGGGUGGAAAGAUUUAUUGGUCUUGGAUGGACUCGCGGCCUAUCAGCUUGUUGGUGAGGUAAUGGCUCACCAAGGCGACGACGGGUAGCCGGCCUGAGAGGGUGACCGGCCACACUGGGACUGAGACACGGCCCAGACUCCUACGGGAGGCAGCAGUGGGGAAUAUUGCACAAUGGGCGCAAGCCUGAUGCAGCGACGCCGCGUGAGGGAUGACGGCCUUCGGGUUGUAAACCUCUUUCAGUAGGGAAGAAGCGAGAGUGACGGUACCUGUAGAAGAAGCGCCGGCUAACUACGUG
RNAcentral lists this ribosomal RNA (466 nucleotides) under uncultured bacterium. RNAcentral describes it as "partial 16S ribosomal RNA". It matches the Rfam family "Bacterial small subunit ribosomal RNA", at positions 28 to 507 of the family's 1533-position model. The record is from RNAcentral.